AGAGUUUGAUCAUGGCUCAGAAUCAACGCUGGCGGCGUGCCUAACACAUGCAAGUCGAACGCGAAAGGGGCUUCGGCCCUGAGUAGAGUGGCGAACGGGUGAGUAACACGUGGGUGAUCUACCUUUGAGUGGGGGAUAACGUUCCGAAAGGAGCGCUAAUACCGCAUGACGUUCCGGGUUUGAAGACCUGGAAACCAAAGCCGGGGACCGCAAGGCCUGGCGCUUGGAGAGGAGCCCGCGUCCGAUUAGCUAGUUGGCGGGGUAACGGCCCACCAAGGCGACGAUCGGUAGCCGGCCUGAGAGGGCGGACGGCCACACUGGAACUGAGACACGGUCCAGACUCCUACGGGAGGCAGCAGUGGGGAAUUGUUCACAAUGGGCGCAAGCCUGAUGACGCAACGCCGCGUGGGGGAUGAAGGUCUUCGGAUUGUAAACCCCUGUCGAACGAGACGAAAGACUCGCGAGCUAAUCAUCGCGGGAGUGACGGUACCGUUAAAGGAAGCCACGGCUAACUCUGUGCCAGCAGCCGCGGUAAUAC
RNAcentral lists this ribosomal RNA (538 nucleotides) under uncultured bacterium. Its description in RNAcentral is "bacterial SSU rRNA". It matches the Rfam family "Bacterial small subunit ribosomal RNA", at positions 8 to 526 of the family's 1533-position model. The record is from RNAcentral.